GGAAGGAGAAGUCGUAACAAGGUCUCCGUUGGUGAACCAGCGGAGGGAUCAUUACUGA
This 58-nucleotide ribosomal RNA is filed under the name Dioscorea polystachya (Chinese yam). RNAcentral's name for it is "partial 18S ribosomal RNA". It matches the Rfam family "Eukaryotic small subunit ribosomal RNA", at positions 1778 to 1831 of the family's 1831-position model. The record is from RNAcentral. Lineage: Eukaryota; Viridiplantae; Streptophyta; Magnoliopsida; Dioscoreales; Dioscoreaceae.